Molecule: long non-coding RNA, 314 nt
Filed under: Mytilus galloprovincialis (Mediterranean mussel)
Lineage: Eukaryota; Metazoa; Mollusca; Bivalvia; Mytilida; Mytilidae
Source: RNAcentral
AAAACAAGAUCCCACCAGUACUCAUAAUUAUAUAAACAUAAAAAUCUGAAUUAAAUAAAAUUGUGUAAGUAGUUUAAAUAUACCGUAAGAUAGCAUUUACUUUUUGAUUUCAGAGUUUACAAAAAUGCAAAUUAGUGUCAAGAGAGUUGGAGAAGGAGAAAUUAUAUGAAGUGAACAAGCACGAAUGUGUUAUACUAAUGGAACGUUGGCAAUCAGAUGAAUGUAUGAAUGCCAUAAUGGGAUUUUUCUCAAGUAAAGGAUCAAAACUGUGAUUUAUAUACCUAACUUAUUUAUUAAUAAAAAAUUAUAUUAUA